Molecule: transfer RNA, 73 nt
Filed under: Frullania nodulosa
Lineage: Eukaryota; Viridiplantae; Streptophyta; Jungermanniopsida; Porellales; Frullaniaceae
Description: tRNA-Trp
Rfam family: tRNA
About the family: Transfer RNA (tRNA) molecules are approximately 80 nucleotides in length. Their secondary structure includes four short double-helical elements and three loops (D, anti-codon, and T loops).
Source: RNAcentral
CGCUCUUAGUUCAGUCCGGUAGAACGCAGGUCUCCAAAACCUGAUGUCGUAGGUUCAAAUCCCACAGGGCGUG